UAGGGAAUCUUCGGCAAUGGACGAAAGUCUGACCGAGCAACGCCGCGUGAGUGAAGAAGGUUUUCGGAUCGUAAAACUCUGUUGUUAGAGAAGAACAAGGACGUUAGUAACUGAACGUCCCCUGACGGUAUCUAACCAGAAAGCCACGGCUAACUACGUGCCAGCAGCCGCGGUAAUACGUAGGUGGCAAGCGUUGUCCGGAUUUAUUGGGCGUAAAGCGAGCGCAGGCGGUUUCUUAAGUCUGAUGUGAAAGCCCCCGGCUCAACCGGGGAGGGUCAUUGGAAACUGGGAGACUUGAGUGCAGAAGAGGAGAGUGGAAUUCCAUGUGUAGCGAUGAAAUGCGUAGAUAUAUGGAGGAACACCAGUGGCGAAGGCGGCCCCCUGGACAAAGACUGACGCUCAGGUGCGAAAGCGUGGGGAGCAAACAGG
This 429-nucleotide ribosomal RNA is filed under the name Chloroflexota bacterium. RNAcentral describes it as "Chloroflexi bacterium partial 16S ribosomal RNA". It matches the Rfam family "Bacterial small subunit ribosomal RNA", at positions 355 to 776 of the family's 1533-position model. Lineage: Bacteria; Bacillati; Chloroflexota. The record is from RNAcentral.